Molecule: ribosomal RNA, 253 nt
Filed under: uncultured bacterium
Lineage: Bacteria
Description: partial 16S ribosomal RNA
Rfam family: Bacterial small subunit ribosomal RNA
Source: RNAcentral
UACGUAGGGUGCGAGCGUUGUCCGGAAUUAUUGGGCGUAAAGGGCUCGUAGGCGGUCUGUCGCGUCGAAAGUGAAAACUCAGGGCUUAACCCUGAGCCUGCUUCCGAUACGGGCAGACUAGAGGUAUGCAGGGGAGAACGGAAUUCCUGGUGUAGCGGUGAAAUGCGCAGAUAUCAGGAGGAACACCGGUGGCGAAGGCGGUUCUCUGGAACGCAACUGACGCUGAGACGCGAAAGCGUGGGGAGCAAACAGG